UACAGAGGUCCCGAGCGUUGUUCGGAUUCACUGGGCGUAAAGGGUGCGUAGGUGGCAUGGUAAGUUUGAUGUGAAAGCUCAGGGCUCAACCCUGAAAUGGCAUUGAAUACUAUCGUGCUGGAGGUUUGGAGGGGGGACUGGAAUUCUUGGUGUAGCAGUGAAAUGCGUAGAUAUCAAGAGGAACACCAGUGGCGAAGGCGAGUCCCUGGACAACACCUGACACUGAGGCACGAAAGCCGGGGGAGCAAACAGG
Molecule: ribosomal RNA, 253 nt
Filed under: uncultured bacterium
Lineage: Bacteria
Description: partial 16S ribosomal RNA
Rfam family: Bacterial small subunit ribosomal RNA
Source: RNAcentral